AUUGAACGCUGGCGGCAGGCCUAACACAUGCAAGUCGAGCGGAUGAAGGGAGCUUGCUCCUGGAUUCAGCGGCGGACGGGUGAGUAAUUCCUAGGAAUCUGCCUGGUAGUGGGGGAUAACGUCCGGAAACGGGCGCUAAUACCGCAUACGUCCUGAGGGAGAAAGUGGGGGAUCUUCGGACCUCACGCUAUCAGAUGAGCCUAGGUCGGAUUAGCUAGUUGGUGGGGUAAAGGCCUACCAAGGCGACGAUCCGUAACUGGUCUGAGAGGAUGAUCAGUCACACUGGAACUGAGACACGGUCCAGACUCCUACGGGAGGCAGCAGUGGGGAAUAUUGGACAAAGGGCGAAAGCCUGAUCCAGCCAUGCCGCGUGUGUGAAGAAGGUCUUCGGAUUGUAAAGCACUUUAAGUUGGGAGGAAGGGCAGUAAGUUAAUACCUUGCUGUUUUGACGUUACCAACAGAAUAAGCACCAGCUAACUUCGUG
RNAcentral lists this ribosomal RNA (484 nucleotides) under uncultured bacterium. Its description in RNAcentral is "partial 16S ribosomal RNA". It matches the Rfam family "Bacterial small subunit ribosomal RNA", at positions 30 to 507 of the family's 1533-position model. The record is from RNAcentral.